This 458-nucleotide ribosomal RNA is filed under the name uncultured bacterium. Its description in RNAcentral is "SSU rRNA". It matches the Rfam family "Bacterial small subunit ribosomal RNA", at positions 26 to 518 of the family's 1533-position model. The record is from RNAcentral.
AGAAUCAACGCUGGCGGCGUGCCUAACACAUGCAAGUCGAACGAGAAAGGGGUAGCAAUACCCUGAGUAAAGUGGCGCACGGGUGAGUAACACGUGACUAACCUACCCUUGAGUGGGGGAUAACUGAGGGAAACCUUAGCUAAUACCGCAUAAUACCCACGGGUCAAAGGAGCAAUUCGCUCGAGGAGGGGGUCGCGGCCGAUUAGUUAGUUGGCGGGGUAAUGGCCCACCAAGACGAUGAUCGGUAUCCGGCCUGAGAGGGCGCACGGACACACUGGAACUGAAACACGGUCCAGACUCCUACGGGAGGCAGCAGUGGGGAAUUUGCGCAAUGGGGGAAACCUGACGCAGCAACGCCGCGUGGAGGAUGAAGUCCUCGGGACGUAACUCCUUUCGAUCGGGACGAUUAUGACGGUACCGGAAGAAGAAGCCCCGGCUAACUUCGUGCCAGCAGCCGC